CCCGUGUUCGGCUCCACGUCACUGCUGGGGCCACGGGAUUUGUUUUGCUGGGCAACUUCCUCCAGAGCUGGUUUCACAAGGAUUACUCACUUGAAUCAUGGUGCCCAUUAACUUUCAGCUGUCUGGAAAAACUGAUGGCCUGAGUGGGAAAGGAGUCCCAGACACUUCCUCACACACACAGGCUGGAGCAGAUUACAGGGAGUGAUCCCGGACUUGUCUGGGUGCUGCGGGAGCCAGCACGGGUUAUCCAUGAGAAAACCCUCUGAGCAAAGCAAGGAUGUCCCUGGCACGGCUGGACUGGGCUAUCCCGGGAUGUUUGUGUUGGUGUUGCCUGGGACACCCAGGUUUGGUGCUGCUGACGUUGCACUCCCGCUCCUCAUUGUUCUCCAGGGUCGGUCAGAGCCAGGUUCUUCCCUGUUUCAGGAAGUUUCCUCACGCAGCUCAAAAUUUCACAAUGUCUUGGGGACAGAUAAGAUGAACCCUCCAUCUCCCCAGGGCACCACCCUUUUGGGUAAGAGCUUCCCCUGUGCCACCCACCUUGUGAAAACAGCAGGAAACUCCUUUUUUUGGGGCAGGUGUGAGGCUGAGAUGGGGGAUCUGUCCCUGGCUGUGCCCAGUUUCACCAGCCAUGGGGAAGGUGCUGGAAUCUCCAAUCAGCUCUCUCAUUUAAUCAGUUUAUCUUUACCUCCCCAUGGCUGGUGGCUCCUCCCUGAACCCCCCUGGUGCCUCCACAAACAGAACAAGCACAGCUUUCCCAAUUAAUUUCUGUUUGCUGGGAGCUGGUAUUUUUCCAUAACCUGUUUAUUUUGUGCUACACCUUUGUUUGAAGGCUGUGCCCAGCUCCCUGCAGUGAUUACAGUGCCC
RNAcentral lists this long non-coding RNA (864 nucleotides) under Cyanistes caeruleus (blue tit). Its description in RNAcentral is "lncRNA (ENSCCEG00000009757.1)". The record is from RNAcentral. Lineage: Eukaryota; Metazoa; Chordata; Aves; Passeriformes; Paridae.